RNAcentral lists this ribosomal RNA (454 nucleotides) under uncultured Porphyromonadaceae bacterium. RNAcentral's name for it is "partial 16S ribosomal RNA". It matches the Rfam family "Bacterial small subunit ribosomal RNA", at positions 341 to 792 of the family's 1533-position model. Lineage: Bacteria; Pseudomonadati; Bacteroidota; Bacteroidia; Bacteroidales; Porphyromonadaceae. The record is from RNAcentral.
ACGGGAGGCAGCAGUGAGGAAUAUUGGUCAAUGGGCGGAAGCCUGAACCAGCCAAGUCGCGUGAGGGAAGACGGUCCUAUGGAUUGUAAACCUCUUUAGCCGGGGAGCAAUAAGCGCCACGUGUGGUGUGAUGAGAGUACCCGGAGAAUAAGGAUCGGCUAACUCCGUGCCAGCAGCCGCGGUAAUACGGAGGAUCCGAGCGUUAUCCGGAUUUAUUGGGUUUAAAGGGUGCGUAGGCGGCCUCUUAAGUCGGCGGUGAAAUUUCCGGGCUCAACCCGGUCACUGCCGUCGGAACUGGGGGGCUUGAGUGCGUUUGGGGUGGCUGGAAUGUGCGGUGUAGCGGUGAAAUGCAUAGAUAUCGCACAGAACGCCGAUCGCGGAGGCAGGUCACCAAGCCGCAACUGACGCUGAGGCACGAAAGCGCGGGGAUCGAACAGGAUUAGAUACCCUGGUA